AGAGAGUGCGAGCGUUAAUCGGAAUUACUGGGCGUAAAGCGCGCGUAGGUGGAUAUUUAAGUCGGAUGUGAAAGCCCUGGGCUUAACCUGGGAACUGCAUUCGAUACUGGGUAUCUAGAGUAUGGUAGAGGGAAGUGGAAUUUCCGGUGUAGCGGUGAAAUGCGUAGAUAUCGGAAAGAACACCAGUGGCGAAGGCGACUUCCUGGACCAAUACUGACACUGAGGCGCGAAAGCGUGGGGAGCAAACAGGAUUAGAUACCCUGGUAGUCCACGCCGUCAACGAUGAGAACUAGAUGUUGGGGGGGCGACCCCUUAGUAUCGAAGCUAACGCGUUAAGUUCUCCGCCUGGGGAGUACGGCCGCAAGGCUA
This 369-nucleotide ribosomal RNA is filed under the name uncultured organism. Its description in RNAcentral is "partial 16S ribosomal RNA". It matches the Rfam family "Bacterial small subunit ribosomal RNA", at positions 527 to 896 of the family's 1533-position model. The record is from RNAcentral.